Molecule: long non-coding RNA, 216 nt
Organism: Protobothrops mucrosquamatus (brown spotted pit viper)
Lineage: Eukaryota; Metazoa; Chordata; Lepidosauria; Squamata; Viperidae
Exons: 3
Source: RefSeq, a predicted model, not a curated record
CAACGAUCAGAGGAAGGAUCCCAUGACGAUCCGAGACUUGGCCAUGUUGCUGGGAUCCAUGUUAUAUUCGGUCUGUGAACAGGCUAAAGUCUUCUUCUGCAACUUUUCAGACAUUGUGGGGGCUAUUCCCAUGACCGGUUCUGUGCUGAAGGAUGUGCAAACCUUACAGAAGAUGUACAACACAGUUUACUACAGUGACGAUUGGUCAUCAUCGGA